Long non-coding RNA from Esox lucius (northern pike), 2700 nucleotides. NCBI's taxonomy places the organism in Eukaryota, Metazoa, Chordata, Actinopteri, Esociformes, Esocidae. The record is from Ensembl.
GCAGAAGCUGCACCGAUCCGUCUGUCAAUCUCCCGUUCCAUCCUUCCCUCACUCGUGAACAGGACCCCUAGAUACUUAAACUCCUCCACUUGAGGCAGGCACUCUCCACCAACCUGAAGUGGGCAAGCCACCCUUUUCCGACUGAGGACCAUGGCCUCGGAUUUGGAGGUACUGAUUCUCAUUCCCACCGCUUCACACUCGGCUGCAAACCAUCCCAGUGCAUGCUGAAGGUCCUGGUUUGAAGGGGCCAACACGACAACAUCAUCCGCAAAGAGCAGAGAUGAAAUCGUGUGGUCCCCAAACCUGACACCCUCCGGCCCCUGGCUGCGCCUAGAAAUUCUGUCCAUAAAAAUUAUGAACAGAACCGGCGACAAAGGGCAGACCUGCCGGAGUCCAACAUGCACUGGGAACAAGUCUGACUUACUGCCGGCAAUGCGGACCAAGCUCCUGCUUCGGUUGUACAGGGACCUGACAGCCCUUAGUAAAGGACCCAGGACCCCAUAUUCCCGAAGCACUCUCCACAGGAUGCCACGAGGGACACAGCCAAAUGCCUUCUCCAAAUCCACAAAACACAUGUGGAUUGGUUGGGCAAACUCCCAUGAACCCUCCAACACCCUGUAGAGGGUAUAGAGCUGGUCCAGUGUUCCACGGCCCGGACGAAAACCACACUGUUCCUCCUGAAUCCGAGGUUCUACUAUGGGCCGUAUUCUCCUCUCCAGAACCCUGGCAUAGACUUUCCCGGGGAGGCUGAGAAGUGUGAUCCCCCUAUAGUUGGAACACACCCUCCGGUCCCCCUUCUUAAAAAGAGGGACCACCAUCCCGGUCUGCCAUCCCAAAGGCACUGUCCCCAACCGCCACGCGAUGUUGCACAGGCGUGUCAACCAAGACAGCCCCACAACAUCCAGAGACUUGAGGUACUCAGGGCGGAUCUCAUCCACCCCUGGUGCCUUGCCACCGAGGAGUUUCUUGACCACCUCAGUGACUUCAGCCCGGGUGAUGGACGAGUCCACCUCUGAGCCCUCAUCCUCUGCUUCCUCAAUGGAAGACGUGACGGCGGGAUUGGACACUCCUUGAGAGAGGAUGGACUCUUUUUUUACUAUUUACUAUUUUUGAGUAGUCUGCAAGCGUUGCUUUGCCACUGUUGUCUACAUGUUAGAAGUGUUCCCACUUCUAACGUCAUUCAGACCUAAACCAUGACCCACAAACUGCAGUACACACCAAACCGUGGGCCCACUGUCCCAUUGCAUCCAUCAUUUCCAUAUAACUACGUAACAUUGAAUGUAAGUUGGUCAAUUCAUAGCGUUUUAAAUAAGAUUACCAUUUUGAACAAUAUAGGUGCUGCCCUGAAAGCCUACCCAAAAGCCACCUACCUAGAGGUAGAUGAAAAGAUUGCAGACUUCAAGCAUGCACCUUUUCGGCUGAAGAGUAAGAGAAAGGUAUUACAAGGAGCAGAUGGAGAAAGAUGUGGAGGAGGAGGGCACAUAUGAAGAACCAGCACCUGAAUAAAUUAGACUUUUUUUUAGUAAUACCAACUUUAGUGUGGUAGGAUACUUUAGGUAUUGUUUAAAUAAAUUGUUUAAGCAGUACCAACAAGUUAAAUGAUUCAAGUCUUGAGGUCAGGGGAGGUUCCAAUACAUUGUAUACCAAACCAUACAUGCAUAGGACUCCAAAUCAGUAGCUAUAGUUUAACAUCCUUUCUCAUACCAUUUCUAGACAUUUGUUAUAACAUGAUUGGUUCAAAAUAUUUUGUAUACUCCGAUGAUUGUGACACCGAAAGAGAAAAAGAUUAGGAAUUUCCAUCUUCGGAGGACUGCCUUUUAGUAUGUUAAGCAUUUAGCAUUUUUCUCUGCUUAUCUCUAAGAUUAGUUUUAGGUCUACAGUUAAAGUAUAUUUUAACAUGUAAAGAUAUAUACAUGUAAAGACAGAUGUGGCUUGUAAUAUAAAGACUGAGUUUGAGAUGUUUGAUGCUUGUUUCAUUAACUUAAAAACCAAUCUUCAGGUAAUAAUAAUGUUCUGAAGACAGCCUUUAUACAGUUUUGUUUUGUUGUAUAUAUGUUGAUAUAUCUUUUUUUAUUAACCAAAUGGGUCACUUUAAUUGGCUUUCCAUUGAGAGGAUCAUUUGUGUUGUUUUGCACUAGAAGUACCAGUAACUUUUCUAAUCCUGAACAGGCUAUGACAUUCAGUACCUUUGUAAAACCUUAAAGGAAUGUUACAAAUGUCUCAGUUAUAUUUCUUGUACUUCAUGAAAACGUUAUUUUAGGUAAUCUUGAUAACAUUACUUACAGUACCAAUUGGGGAUGUAAUCGUGUGUAUGUUCAGGCAACUAUUAUAAUGUUACUAAAUAAACGUCAUUAGGACUUUCAGAGGCCCCCACAUUUCUGCGUCCUGAAUAGACUUGGGACAUAACUUACGUCAGCUGACACCACAGGUACAUACAGACGACGUUUCACAAGUACGUAACCAUGACUUUGUGGAGACUACAAAACCGUUGAGGUCACGUCCUGGAACGUAAUUUUAUUAGCUGGGACGUUGAGGUCACAUCGAGGAACGUAAUUAGCAACAUCAUUUUAAGUAAUCCUAAUAACAUUACUUACAGUACCAAUAGGGAACGUAAUCAUGUGCACGUUCAGGCAACUUUAUAACGUUACUAAAUAACGUCAUUAGGCCUUUCAGAGGCCCCCCACAUUUCUACAUCCUGAA